This is a long non-coding RNA of Vidua chalybeata, 644 nucleotides long. RefSeq lists it as uncharacterized. The transcript is spliced from 5 exons. The record is from RefSeq and is a predicted model, not a curated record. NCBI's taxonomy places the organism in Eukaryota, Metazoa, Chordata, Aves, Passeriformes, Viduidae.
UUCCUUGUGAGGCUUUAUUGCAUUAACACUUUGAGAGCCCCCAAAUCAACAGAGCUGUCAAGGAAGGGAAGUCAAAACACUGGAUCAAGAGCCCACAGAACCUGUGGUUUCCAUCCUCAGCAGUAGAACAAAGGAAAGGGGAUAGCAGCAGAGGCAAUUUUACAAGCUCUUAAUAUUCACCACACUCUAGAGCCAGAGAAGAUCAAGCUGGAUCCUCAACCUUCCUACACUGAUGGCCUCUACCAAAGCACAUGUGGAUGCCUGGGAGCUGCACCAGCUGUUGAAGGGGGCAGCGGGACAACAGUCCCUUCCCAGAGCAGAUCUGCUGUGGAGCCAGAACAAGAGGCACUAGAUCAGCAUCCUGUAUUUGGUGAUAGUGAAAAAAAGUGCUUCAGAGAAACUGUGAAUCACGUAGAAGAUGGUGCAACAUUUGGUAAGAAUCAUUGGCAGGAACACAACAGCGUUUAGCAGGUUUUUUCCAGUGCUGCAGCUCUUGAUGGCAAAGACUGAGGCUUUGGAAAUGCCCUAGGAAGGCUGUCAGGAGCCAGUGGGCAUUGGGCAGUGACAGCAGACUUACAAGCCAAGAACAGCCUCCCUGCCAACUUGUGUGAUAGCUGCUCUAAUCACCACUCCUACAGACCUUA